This 700-nucleotide long non-coding RNA is filed under the name Rosa chinensis. RNAcentral describes it as "sRNA RchiOBHm_Chr3g0477871". The record is from RNAcentral. Lineage: Eukaryota; Viridiplantae; Streptophyta; Magnoliopsida; Rosales; Rosaceae.
UUGGAUGCGGCUCGCACUCCCAACUUUUCUUUACUGUUCUUAUGGAGAUCCGCAAAUGGAUCUCGUUUUGUAGCCUUUCAUUUCCUUCUUUCUUUUUCUUUCCUUAUCUUUUCCCUUGCUUCUCUCUCUGUUUGAUUUUUUCUGAAUAGAAGAAAAAUUGCAGAGCUAAAGAUAUAGCUGCAAUCUUUCUAGACUUUGUUGAGUUUGUUUGCUAAUCAGAGAAGCUCACUACUAGCAACUGGAGCUUGGGCUUUCAUCUAGAUCUGUGGAGAGUUUUUCAUGCAGUCAAUGAAAUCUUUGAACAGAAAACAGUGAUUUAUAACUGCUUUGAUUUCUGUAAGUGGUGUUAUUGUUCAUAUCAGUCACCGACGCAUCAGAGUAUAUGGAACCAUCUCCUCAAUCCCUCUUCAAUUCAGGUGCGUUAUGCAUAAAAUUCAGUUCUUUCUCUAGGAUUUGUUUGAAAUUCUUCUCGGUAUUUCUUCUGAUGGUUGGUUAAGCUGGAAUUCCUGUCUAUGAUCAGAAACAAUGAGGAGGAUUCCAAUUGAUGUUUGAUUGUUUUUUUUUUUUUUUUAUGGUAAUUGAUGUUUGAUUGUUGCUUCCGGUGAUAUACACUUGUACAGAAACUGACAACAUUGAGAAGGUUUUCAUAUGGAGCAGAAGGGACUUGGACGUGUAGAAGUAGAAGUAGAAGUAGCAGUAG